ACGAGUCCACCUCGGUGCCCUACUGAACACAUUUACGUUCCUUGUUCAUUACGGAGACCUGGCAAACACAGACACAACUUAAUGGGAGGUCACCAACGCACGUGCAGAAACAUCAGUUACCAAGUAUCAUAACAAAAACCACAACAUUAUCAAUUCAUAAGAUCCCGUUGAUUUGCAGAGUGAGCAGCUUAGAAGGGAGGAAUAUUGUUUCACUCUGUAACCUAGGCAGCAUCCUUCUCUUGUUGUACAGUAAUGAUACCAUCUCCUUCUGGGAGGAGAGGACAGGCAUACCUACUCCUAGUUACAGAAGGUUCCAGCUUCCUAAACUCAGCCUUCCUCUCCUGAAACACAAGCCACUAUGUGUGCAAGUGUCACCUUGCCUCUUCACAUUACCCUUUGGAACUGGAAAGCUAGCACAGAUAUUCUGAUGCUGUAGUGAGCAAC
Non-coding RNA from Callorhinus ursinus (northern fur seal), 444 nucleotides. NCBI's taxonomy places the organism in Eukaryota, Metazoa, Chordata, Mammalia, Carnivora, Otariidae. The record is from RefSeq and is a predicted model, not a curated record.